Molecule: ribosomal RNA, 502 nt
Filed under: uncultured Actinomycetes bacterium
Lineage: Bacteria; Bacillati; Actinomycetota; Actinomycetes
Description: bacterial SSU rRNA
Rfam family: Bacterial small subunit ribosomal RNA
Source: RNAcentral
AGAGUUUGAUCCUGGCUCAGGACGAACGCUGGCGGCGUGCUUAACACAUGCAAGUCGAGCGACGCUCCUCCUUCGGGAGGAUGACGGAGCGGCGAACGGGUGAGUAACACGUGGGCAACCUGCCCCUAGCUCUGGGAUAAGCCCGGGAAACCGGGUCUAAUACCGGAUAUGAGAUCGGAAGGCAUCUUCUGAUCUGGAAAGUUUUUCGGCUAGGGAUGGGCCCGCGGCCUAUCAGCUUGUUGGUGAGGUAACGGCCCACCAAGGCGACGACGGGUAGCCGGCCUGAGAGGGCGACCGGUCACACUGGGACUGAGACACGGCCCAGACUCCUACGGGAGGCAGCAGUGGGGAAUAUUGCACAAUGGGCGAAAGCCUGAUGCAGCGACGCCGCGUGAGGGAUGACUGCCUUCGGGGUUGUAAACCUCUUUCAGCAGGGACGAAGCGGAAAGUGACGGUACCUGCAGAAGAAGCACCGGCCCACUACGUGCCAGCAGCCGCGGUA